Molecule: non-coding RNA, 121 nt
Filed under: Marinobacter salinus
Lineage: Bacteria; Pseudomonadati; Pseudomonadota; Gammaproteobacteria; Pseudomonadales; Marinobacteraceae
Description: TPP sequence
Rfam family: TPP riboswitch aptamer (THI element)
About the family: Vitamin B(1) in its active form thiamin pyrophosphate (TPP) is an essential coenzyme that is synthesised by coupling of pyrimidine and thiazole moieties in bacteria. The previously detected thiamin-regulatory element, thi box was extended, resulting in a new, highly conserved RNA secondary structure, the THI element, which is widely distributed in eubacteria and also occurs in some archaea. Analysis of operon structures identified a large number of new candidate thiamin-regulated genes, mostly transporters, in various prokaryotic organisms.
Source: RNAcentral
CGCGUCUUGACGGGGUGCUGGCCCGCCUUCAAUAACUGAGGGGCGGUCGGCUGAGAUUGCAUCGCAGAACCCGCGACCUGAUCCGGAUAAUACCGGCGUAGGGAUUGAGACCAUAUUGCUA